This is a non-coding RNA of Xylariaceae sp. FL1272, 72 nucleotides long. Lineage: Eukaryota; Fungi; Ascomycota; Sordariomycetes; Xylariales; Xylariaceae. The record is from the annotation of a GenBank genome assembly.
GGUCGGAUAGUGUAAAGGCGAUCACAUCGGAUUUUGAUUCCGAAGAUCUGGGUUCGAGUCCCAGUUUGACCU